This 788-nucleotide ribosomal RNA is filed under the name Alteromonas macleodii. RNAcentral's name for it is "bacterial SSU rRNA". It matches the Rfam family "Bacterial small subunit ribosomal RNA", at positions 396 to 1178 of the family's 1533-position model. Lineage: Bacteria; Pseudomonadati; Pseudomonadota; Gammaproteobacteria; Alteromonadales; Alteromonadaceae. The record is from RNAcentral.
GCCGCGUGUGUGAAGAAGGCCUUCGGGUUGUAAAGCACUUUCAGUUGUGAGGAAAAGUUAGUAGUUAAUACCUGCUAGCCGUGACGUUAACAACAGAAGAAGCACCGGCUAACUCCGUGCCAGCAGCCGCGGUAAUACGGAGGGUGCGAGCGUUAAUCGGAAUUACUGGGCGUAAAGCGCACGCAGGCGGUUUGUUAAGCUAGAUGUGAAAGCCCCGGGCUCAACCUGGGAUGGUCAUUUAGAACUGGCAGACUAGAGUCUUGGAGAGGGGAGUGGAAUUCCAGGUGUAGCGGUGAAAUGCGUAGAUAUCUGGAGGAACAUCAGUGGCGAAGGCGACUCCCUGGCCAAAGACUGACGCUCAUGUGCGAAAGUGUGGGUAGCGAACAGGAUUAGAUACCCUGGUAGUCCACACCGUAAACGCUGUCUACUAGCUGUGUGUGUCUUUAAGACGUGCGUAGCGAAGCUAACGCGCUAAGUAGACCGCCUGGGGAGUACGGCCGCAAGGUUAAAACUCAAAUGAAUUGACGGGGGCCCGCACAAGCGGUGGAGCAUGUGGUUUAAUUCGAUGCAACGCGAAGAACCUUACCUACACUUGACAUGCUGAGAACUUACUAGAGAUAGAUUCGUGCCUUCGGGAACUCUGACACAGGUGCUGCAUGGCUGUCGUCAGCUCGUGUCGUGAGAUGUUGGGUUAAGUCCCGCAACGAGCGCAACCCUUGUCCUUAGUUGCCAGCCUUAAGUUGGGCACUCUAAGGAGACUGCCGGUGACAAACCGGAGGAAGGUGGGG